UACGUAGGUGGCAAGCGUUGUCCGGAUUUAUUGGGUUUAAAGGGUGCGUAGGCGGCUUUAUAAGUCAGUGCUGAAAUAUCCCGGCUUAACCGGGAGGGUGGCAUUGAUACUGCAGAGCUUGAGUGAAGUCGAGGUAGGCGGAAUUGACGGUGUAGCGGUGAAAUGCUUAGAUAUCGUCAAGAACACCGAUAGUGAAGACAGCUUACUAGACUUCGACUGACGCUGAGGCACGAAAGUGUGGGGAUCAAACAGG
RNAcentral lists this ribosomal RNA (253 nucleotides) under uncultured bacterium. RNAcentral's name for it is "partial 16S ribosomal RNA". It matches the Rfam family "Bacterial small subunit ribosomal RNA", at positions 524 to 776 of the family's 1533-position model. The record is from RNAcentral.